UGGGGAAUUUUGGACAAUGGGCGAAAGCCUGAUCCAGCAAUGCCGCGUGUGUGAAGAAGGCCUUCGGGUUGUAAAGCACUUUUGUCCGGAAAGAAAUCCUUGGCUCUAAUACAGUCGGGGGAUGACGGUACCGGAAGAAUAAGCACCGGCUAACUACGUGCCAGCAGCCGCGGUAAUACGUAGGGUGCAAGCGUUAAUCGGAAUUACUGGGCGUAAAGCGUGCGCAGGCGGUUUGCUAAGACCGAUGUGAAAUCCCCGGGCUCAACCUGGGAACUGCAUUGGUGACUGGCAGGCUAGAGUAUGGCAGAGGGGGGUAGAAUUCCACGUGUAGCAGUGAAAUGCGUAGAGAUGUGGAGGAAUACCGAUGGCGAAGGCAGCCCCCUGGGCCAAUACUGACGCUCAUGCACGAAAGCGUGGGGAGCAAACAGGAUUAGAUACCCUGGUAGUCCACGCCCUAAACGAUGUCAACUAGUUGUUGGGGACUUCAUUUUCCUUAGUAACGUAGCUAACGCGUGAAGUUGACCGCCUGGGGAGUACGGUCGCAAGAUUAAAACUCAAAGGAAUUGACGGGGUCAUAGCUG
This 581-nucleotide ribosomal RNA is filed under the name uncultured bacterium. RNAcentral describes it as "partial 16S ribosomal RNA". It matches the Rfam family "Bacterial small subunit ribosomal RNA", at positions 355 to 932 of the family's 1533-position model. The record is from RNAcentral.